AGAGUUUGAUCCUGGCUCAGAUUGAACGCUGGCGGCAUGCCUUACACAUGCAAGUCGAACGGCAGCACGGGUGCUUGCACCUGGUGGCGAGUGGCGAACGGGUGAGUAAUGCACCGGAACGUACCCAGUAAUGGGGGAUAACACAUCGAAAGAUGUGCUAAUACCGCAUACGCCCUGAGGGGGAAAGCGGGGGAUCGUAAGACCUCGCGUUAUUGGAGCGGCCGAUGCCGGAUUAGCUAGUUGGUGAGGUAAGAGCUCACCAAGGCGACGAUCCGUAGCUGGUCUGAGAGGACGACCAGCCACACUGGGACUGAGACACGGCCCAGACUCCUACGGGAGGCAGCAGUGGGGAAUUUUGGACAAUGGGCGCAAGCCUGAUCCAGCCAUGCCGCGUGAGUGAAGAAGGCCUUCG
RNAcentral lists this ribosomal RNA (412 nucleotides) under uncultured bacterium. Its description in RNAcentral is "bacterial SSU rRNA". It matches the Rfam family "Bacterial small subunit ribosomal RNA", at positions 8 to 420 of the family's 1533-position model. The record is from RNAcentral.